GUGAGUGGAAGCUCACUGUAGAGACCACACACUGGGUGCUUGUUACCCAUCUGUCUCUGGGAAGGUCUGAGACAAGAGCCAUUAAGCUGCCCUCACAGGGCAUCAUCUGAAUCAGAUGAGUGAGUGAACAGCAAACAUAGGUCACCAUGGCCACCAUCAGCAGGAGAAGCUUGUGGGUGUGGCUACCACACUCUCAGGCGGAUGCGGUGACCAGCUGACUUGGAAGCGCUCACGGCUGGCUGAUGAGCCCGAUAUGUGAGGUGGGGCAUUGCUCCAGAACUCAAUUCAGACUACUCUCCACUCAU
Molecule: RNase P RNA, 305 nt
Filed under: Fundulus heteroclitus (mummichog)
Lineage: Eukaryota; Metazoa; Chordata; Actinopteri; Cyprinodontiformes; Fundulidae
Description: Nuclear RNase P (ENSFHEG00000021795.1)
Rfam family: Nuclear RNase P
About the family: Ribonuclease P (RNase P) is a ubiquitous endoribonuclease, found in archaea, bacteria and eukarya as well as chloroplasts and mitochondria. Its best characterised activity is the generation of mature 5'-ends of tRNAs by cleaving the 5'-leader elements of precursor-tRNAs.
Source: RNAcentral